This 251-nucleotide ribosomal RNA is filed under the name uncultured bacterium. RNAcentral describes it as "partial 16S ribosomal RNA". It matches the Rfam family "Bacterial small subunit ribosomal RNA", at positions 524 to 774 of the family's 1533-position model. The record is from RNAcentral.
UACGAAGGGGGCUAGCGUUGUUCGGAAUUACUGGGCGUAAAGCGCGCGCAGGCGGCUAUCCAAGUCAGUGGUGAAAGCCCGGAGCUCAACUCCGGAACUGCCAUUGAAACUGUUUAGCUUGAGGAUGAGAGAGGUGAGUGGAAUUCCCAGUGUAGAGGUGAAAUUCGUAGAUAUUGGGAAGAACACCGGUGGCGAAGGCGGCUCACUGGCUCAUUACUGACGCUCAGGCGCGAUAGCGUGGGGAUCAAAGG